This 399-nucleotide ribosomal RNA is filed under the name uncultured bacterium. RNAcentral describes it as "bacterial SSU rRNA". It matches the Rfam family "Bacterial small subunit ribosomal RNA", at positions 355 to 774 of the family's 1533-position model. The record is from RNAcentral.
UUAGGAAUCUUCCACAAUGGGCGAAAGCCUGAUGGAGCGACGCCGCGUGAGGGAUGAAGGCCUUAGGGUUGUAAACCUCUAAAAGAGGGACGAUAAUGACGGUACCUCUUGAAUAGCACCGGCUAACUCCGUGCCAGCAGCCGCGGUAAUACGAGGGUGCAAGAGUUAUCCGGAAUCACUGGGCGUAAAGGGCGCGUAGGCGGUCUGUUAAGUCCGAUGUUAAAUCCCGGGGCUCAACCCCGGAUAAGCGUUGGAUACUGGCAGGCUAGACGGUUGGAGAGGCGAGUGGAAUUACCAGUGUAGCGGUGGAAUGCGUAGAUACUGGUAGGAACACCCAUUGCGAAGGCAGCUCGCUGGACAACACGUGACGCUGAUGCGCGAAAGCCAGGGGAGCAAACG